This 913-nucleotide ribosomal RNA is filed under the name uncultured bacterium. RNAcentral describes it as "bacterial SSU rRNA". It matches the Rfam family "Bacterial small subunit ribosomal RNA", at positions 246 to 1155 of the family's 1533-position model. The record is from RNAcentral.
UAGUUGGUGGGGUAAAGGCCUACCAAGGCGACGAUCAGUAGCGGGUCUGAGAGGAUGAUCCGCCACACUGGGACUGAGACACGGCCCAGACUCCUACGGGAGGCAGCAGUGGGGAAUUUUGGACAAUGGGGGCAACCCUGAUCCAGCCAUUCCGCGUGAGUGAAGAAGGCCUUCGGGUUGUAAAGCUCUUUCAGCUGGAACGAAACGGUACAUCCUAAUACGGUGUGCUAAUGACGGUACCAGCAGAAGAAGCACCGGCUAACUACGUGCCAGCAGCCGCGGUAAUACGUAGGGUGCGAGCGUUAAUCGGAAUUACUGGGCGUAAAGCGUGCGCAGGCGGAUUGUUAAGCAAGAUGUGAAAUCCCCGGGCUUAACCUGGGAAUGGCAUUUUGAACUGGCAGUCUAGAGUGCGUCAGAGGGGGGUGGAAUUCCACGUGUAGCAGUGAAAUGCGUAGAGAUGUGGAGGAACACCAAUGGCGAAGGCAGCCCCCUGGGAUGACACUGACGCUCAUGUACGAAAGCGUGGGUAGCAAACAGGAUUAGAUACCCUGGUAGUCCACGCCCUAAACGAUGUCAACUGGUUGUUGGGGGAGUGAAAUCCCUUAGUAACGAAGCUAACGCGUGAAGUUGACCGCCUGGGGAGUACGGUCGCAAGAUUAAAACUCAAAGGAAUUGACGGGGACCCGCACAAGCGGUGGAUGAUGUGGAUUAAUUCGAUGCAACGCGAAAAACCUUACCUACCCUUGACAUGUCCAGAACCCUGCAGAGAUGCGGGGGUGCCCGAAAGGGAAUUGGAACACAGGUGCUGCAUGGCUGUCGUCAGCUCGUGUCGUGAGAUGUUGGGUUAAGUCCCGCAACGAGCGCAACCCUUAUCAUUAGUUGCUACGCAAGGGCACUCUAAUGAGACUGCCAG